CCUACGGGUGGCAGCAGUGGGGAAUAUUGCACAAUGGGGGAAACCCUGAUGCAGCGACGCCGCGUGAGCGAAGAAGUAUUUCGGUAUGUAAAGCUCUAUCAGCAGGGAAGAAAAUGACGGUACCUGAGUAAGACGCUCCGGCUAAAUACGUGCCAGCAGCCGCGGUAAUACGUAUGGAGCAAGCGUUAUCCGGAUUUACUGGGCGUAAAGGGAGCGUAGGCGGCCUGCCAAGUCUGAUGUGACAUACCGGGGCUCAACACCGGGGCUGCAGUGGAAACUGGCAGGCGGGAGUGCCGGAGAGGCAGGCGGGAUGCUGAGGGGAGCGGUGAGAUGCGUAGAUAUUAGGAGGAACACCAGUGGCGAAGGCGGGCUGCUGGAGGGUGACUGACGCUGAGGCUCGAAAGCGUGGGGAGCAAACAGGAGUAGAUACCCGUGUAGUC
Molecule: ribosomal RNA, 440 nt
Filed under: uncultured bacterium
Lineage: Bacteria
Description: partial 16S ribosomal RNA
Rfam family: Bacterial small subunit ribosomal RNA
Source: RNAcentral